Callithrix jacchus (white-tufted-ear marmoset) is the source of this 1567-nucleotide long non-coding RNA. Lineage: Eukaryota; Metazoa; Chordata; Mammalia; Primates; Cebidae. The record is from Ensembl.
AGGGGAAACUCACUUCUGAGCAGCCAACUGCCCUCCUUUCCCUGACUGGCUGGCACCUCCUGCCAGCUUAACCUCCCAAGCUUUGACCACAAACACCCCCCCCCCAUUUUUUAGCCUGUCUUGCAGGACUUGCAUAUUGUGGAUCAUUCUUUGAAAAAUAUGGUUAUUAUUCCUUUUUUUUUUUAAUUUGAGACAGUUUCAUUCUUGUUGCCCAGGCUGGAGUGCAAUGGCACAAUCUCGGCUCACCAUAACCUCCGCCUCCCAGGUUCAAGCGAUUCUCCUCUCUUAGCCUCCCGAGCAGCUGAAACUACAGGCAUGUGCCACCACGCCUGGCUAAUUUUGUAUUUUUAGUAGAGAUGGGGUUUCUCCAUGUUGGUCAGGCUGGUCUCAAACUCCCGACUUCAGGUGAUCUGCCUGCCUCGGCCUCCCAAAGUGCUGGGAUUACAGGUGUGAGCCACUGUACCUGGCCUAGUUAUCAUUAUUCUAAUGGCCAGAUAGAAGGCAGUGUUUUACAUACUGAAUAGCUAUGCAUACACUGGGCAGGGGAGAUCCAUAUCCUCCUGCUACCACAGCCUCUCCACAGUGGGUUUUUCAGGAGAAAUGCAGGAGAAAGCUCCAGGCAGUACCAUUCCUUAGCUGGAAGGAACUCCAGCUCUUCACAUCACUGUUGUGGAAGCUGGACCCAGAGUGGGGAGGCAGCGUCCCAAGAUCACAUGGCGAGUUAGUCAUCAGCGAAAAUCAUAUUUUCCUCCUUGCACACCACACCCUCUCUUUUUUUCCAGGCAAAUUCCAGAUUCCUUGGGAAGAAUGACAAUGCUACAGAAAAGCACAUGGAUUUGCAGCUUCGUGGACGUCCCCUAUGAGUGUGACACGUCUUUACUCCCAAUGGAGGAAAGUGAAGCCAGGCUUACUGAGAAAAAAAACAACCUCAGAAAUCAAAAUCAGACAGUUAUGCUUGAUCUGGCUGCCCCGGAGCGGGAAGACCCGAUCAUUGGCAGUGCUGGCCACUGUGCUGACCAGCCUGAUGUCACGAAGAGAAGUGAUUUUCCAAUCCUGCAUCCGGUACAGCUGUGUGGACUCUGCUCGUCCUGCCAUUCCACCAAGAAAUUAAAAAGCAAUAUUCCUUUGAAGUUCUGGGGUUUUUUUUGUUUUUUGUUUCUUUCAUUUAAGAUUACACUUUGAGGUCAGAAAAUGAGACAUAAGGAAUUCACAAACAUGCACACAUUUGAUUUGGAAAUAUUCCACCCUCCGCAUCCCCAUUUUAAACUGUCCUGAGGCCCAGAUGGUUUACAGAUUGAGCUGGCUUAGGCCGGCAAGCAUUUCGGGGAGCUGGUUGACCACGUUUUUUGAAACAGAGGUAUUUUAUCCAUUAAGCUGAUCAACACUGGGGAGAAUGGGGCACCCUAAUGGUCUUUAAGUAAUAUCUUGUGAAGCUAUUUUAAAAAUAGCAGCAGAACAAAAUACACCCGGGAAUCAAGCAUGUAAAUCAAUAAAAGUUUGUGUUUCAACUUGCAAUAUUGUUAGCAGUCUUGUUUAUUCAAGGCAGUGUUGAUUUUUAUGAUUUUUA